GACGAACGCUGGCGGCGUGCUUAACACAUGCAAGUCGAACGGAAAGGCCCUGCUUUUGUGGGGUGCUCGAGUGGCGAACGGGUGAGUAACACGUGAGUAACCUGCCCUUGACUUUGGGAUAACUUCAGGAAACUGGGGCUAAUACCGGAUAGGAGCUCCUGCUGCAUGGUGGGGGUUGGAAAGUUUCGGCGGUUGGGGAUGGACUCGCGGCUUAUCAGCUUGUUGGUGGGGUAGUGGCUUACCAAGGCUUUGACGGGUAGCCGGCCUGAGAGGGUGGCCGGCCACAUUGGGACUGAGAUACGGCCCAGACUCCUACGGGAGGCAGCAGUGGGGAAUAUUGCACAAUGGGCGGAAGCCUGAUGCAGCAACGCCGCGUGCGGGAUGACGGCCUUCGGGUUGUAAACCGCUUUCGCCUGUGACGAAGCGUGAGUGACGGUAAUGGGUAAAGAAGCACCAGCUAACUACGUG
RNAcentral lists this ribosomal RNA (468 nucleotides) under uncultured bacterium. Its description in RNAcentral is "partial 16S ribosomal RNA". It matches the Rfam family "Bacterial small subunit ribosomal RNA", at positions 28 to 507 of the family's 1533-position model. The record is from RNAcentral.